This 473-nucleotide ribosomal RNA is filed under the name uncultured bacterium. RNAcentral's name for it is "bacterial SSU rRNA". It matches the Rfam family "Bacterial small subunit ribosomal RNA", at positions 335 to 801 of the family's 1533-position model. The record is from RNAcentral.
ACUCCUACGGGAGGCAGCAGUAGGGAAUCUUCCACAAUGGGCGCAAGCCUGAUGGAGCAACACCGCGUGAGUGAAGAAGGGUUUCGGCUCGUAAAGCUCUGUUGUUAAAGAAGAACACGUAUGAGAGUAACUGUUCAUACGUUGACGGUAUUUAACCAGAAAGUCACGGCUAACUACGUGCCAGCAGCCGCGGUAAUACGUAGGUGGCAAGCGUUAUCCGGAUUUAUUGGGCGUAAAGAGAGUGCAGGCGGUUUUCUAAGUCUGAUGUGAAAGCCUUCGGCUUAACCGGAGAAGUGCAUCGGAAACCGGAUAACUUGAGUGCAGAAGAGGGUAGUGGAACUCCAUGUGUAGCGGUGGAAUGCGUAGAUAUAUGGAAGAACACCAGUGGCGAAGGCGGCUACCUGGUCUGCAACUGACGCUGAGACUCGAAAGCAUGGGUAGCGAACAGGAUUAGAUACCCUGGUAGGAUAGCG